This 443-nucleotide ribosomal RNA is filed under the name uncultured bacterium. Its description in RNAcentral is "partial 16S ribosomal RNA". It matches the Rfam family "Bacterial small subunit ribosomal RNA", at positions 338 to 795 of the family's 1533-position model. The record is from RNAcentral.
CCUACGGGUGGCAGCAGUGGGGAAUAUUGGACAAUGGGCGCAAGCCUGACCCAGCAACGCCGCGUGAAGGAAGAAGGCUUUCGGGUUGUAAACUUCUUUUAUCAGGGACGAAGCAAAUGACGGUACCUGACGAAUAAGCCACGGCUAACUACGUGCCAGCAGCCGCGGUAAUACGUAGGGGGCAAGCGUUAUCCGGAUUUACUGGGUGUAAAGGGUGUGUAGGCGGGGAAGUAAGUCAGAUGUGAAAACCAUGGGCUCAACCCGUGGCUUGCAUUUGAAACUGUUUUUCUUGAGUACUGGAGAGGCAAGCGGAAUUCCGAGUGUAGCGGUGAAAUGCGUAGAUAUUCGGAGGAACACCAGUGGCGAAGGCGGAUUUCUGGACAGAAACUGACGCUGAGGCGCGAAAGCGUGGGGAGCAAACAGGAUUAGAUACCCUAGUAGUC